This is a non-coding RNA of Marmota flaviventris (yellow-bellied marmot), 931 nucleotides long. Lineage: Eukaryota; Metazoa; Chordata; Mammalia; Rodentia; Sciuridae. The record is from RefSeq and is a predicted model, not a curated record.
CGGCGCGGGAGGAAGGGCGCGGAGCCGGCUGGGGUUGUCAGGGCAGACUCCCCGGAGGCAGCGGCGGGCCGGACGGUUCGCGGGAAUAAUUCAAGAUACCUUUACUGGAAAUCAUUUUGCUGAAAUUAUUGAAACAGUGAUUCUUGAAUUUGAAGACAAGGAAUCUCUCUCCCCUUCUUGACUACAGGAGUGUGAACCUUUCUUCACGGCCUCUCUGGACACACUGUCUUGCAUCCUCCAGGAAAGAUGCGGCAGCUCAAAGGGAAGCCCAAGAAGGAGACAUCCAAGGACAAGAAGGAGCGGAAGCAGGCCAUGCAGGAAGCCCGACAACAGAUCACCACAGUGGUGCUGCCCACACUGGCUGUGGUGGUGCUUCUGAUAGUGGUGUUUGUGUAUGUGGCCACACGCCCUACCAUCACCGAGUGAGCACCUGGCUGCCAAGGACUCCUUGGGCAGGGAGGGGGAAGCAAAUGAAAAAUGGCUUUCAUGUGCAGAGAUGUUCCUGCUGCUGAGCUCUAAGCAGGAACACCCUGCUUCUCUGGUCUUUGACUUGAUUAAAGUUUCUCCACUUUUCUUGGGAGGGAAUAGGGAACGUUUUAUCAGUAAACGUGCCAUACACCUUAUGGUCCACUUCAUGUGCCUUUCAGACUUCAAAGCAGUGUGUGUGUGUGUGUGUGUGUGUGUGUGUGUGUGUGUGUGUUUCUCUCAUAAAUUGAUAUGUAGCUCCACCUGGUGAGAGGAGGACUUUGGGUCAUGAAGCAGCUGGAAUCAGUGCUCACCUCAUCCCCAUUGUUUGGAACAUGCCACUUCCUACACGUGUUCACAAUUUCCAAAGGGACUGUAUGUCUUCUCUGUGCUUAAUGUGAUUUGAAAUAUGUUGACUCAAAGUGAAAUAUUUAUUUUUUGAAUAAAGGAGAUAAUUAGCCUUAAA